GAUGAACGCUGGCGGCGUGCCUAAUACAUGCAAGUCGAGCGAACAGACGAGGAGCUUGCUCCUUUGACGUUAGCGGCGGACGGGUGAGUAACACGUGGGUAACCUACCUAUAAGACUGGGACAACUUCGGGAAACCGGAGCUAAUACCGGAUAAUAUUUCGAACCGCAUGGUUCGAUAGUGAAAGAUGGCUUUGCUAUCACUUAUAGAUGGACCUGCGCCGUAUUAGCUAGUUGGUAAGGUAACGGCUUACCAAGGCAACGAUACGUAGCCGACCUGAGAGGGUGAUCGGCCACACUGGAACUGAGACACGGUCCAGACUCCUACGGGAGGCAGCAGUAGGGAAUCUUCCGCAAAGGGCGAAAGCCUGACGGAGCAACGCCGCGUGAGUGAUGAAGGUCUUCGGAUCGUAAAACUCUGUUAUUAGGGAAGAACAAACGUGUAAGUAACUGUGCACGUCUUGACGGUACCUAAUCAGAAAGCCACGGCUAACUACGUG
This 497-nucleotide ribosomal RNA is filed under the name uncultured bacterium. Its description in RNAcentral is "partial 16S ribosomal RNA". It matches the Rfam family "Bacterial small subunit ribosomal RNA", at positions 28 to 507 of the family's 1533-position model. The record is from RNAcentral.